RNAcentral lists this long non-coding RNA (460 nucleotides) under Homo sapiens (human). RNAcentral describes it as "HSALNT0379044". The record is from RNAcentral. Lineage: Eukaryota; Metazoa; Chordata; Mammalia; Primates; Hominidae.
UGCAAAGCUAGACAGUUUCUGGCAGGUUCUCAUUGAACACUCGCUUCUGAAAGACUGCUACUUGCUCCCUUUGAGGUCCCAGCCCUGGUCAACAGUCCCAGCUGAGCCUGUAUUUAGCCAUUUCAGCUCAGACUCCAGGCUUGUGAAGAAAGAUGCCAUCUUGUAGGUGGACCCUCCAGUCCAAGCUCAUCACUUGCUCCUUGAAUGAAGAUGAAUGAGUCAGAGAGUUCAUUUGGAAUUUGAGUUUACCAAGAUAUGAAAGGCAAAGGUGUCUUCGUUUUAUUUCCAAAAAAGCAACAGCAACAGUCCUUAGAAGAAAAGUGAAAAAGUGACUAAGGCUGAUUGUCAACUCUAUCAUGACCUGCAACUGAAACCAGAGUGAUUUCUCUAUGUCCCUGGAAUUAUGGGAAUAAGAAGAAGGAGGCGAAAUUCUAUUUUUUCUCAUCUAUGUUAUUCAGAA